ACGAUCGGCGCUGCUUUCGUUGCCAAACCGAUCCAGGUGGGAGAGAAAGUGAUCACUCUGGGAAUAUGGGACACAGCUGGAUCCGAACGCUACGAAGCUAUGAGCAGAAUCUACUACAGAGGAGCGCGGGCCGCCAUCGUCUGCUACGAUCUGACCGACAGCAGCAGCUUCCAGCGAGCUCGGUUCUGGGUGAAGGAGCUGCAGAACUGCGAGGAACACUGUAAGAUCUACCUGUGUGGAACCAAGAACGACCUGGUUGAAGCCGAUCGCAGCAUUCGUCAGAUCGAUUACCACGACGCUCAGGACUUUGCUGAAGAGAUCGGCGCCGCAGCAUUUCGAGACCUCCAGUAAAACAGGAAAUAACGUGGAUGAGUUGUUCCAGAAAGUCGCCGAGGAUUACAACAGCACCGCCUUCCAGUAUAUGAGCGCAGAGGAAACCGGCGUCGACUUGGGCCAGAAGAAAGACUCAUAUUUCUACUCCUGUUGCCAUAACAACUGAUGCUGAGCAACCCGCCGAGGGAAACAGACGUGGUCAACUUCCCUCCGACUGAAAUAAAACCUGGAAAUGCUGGAUGGAUAACUCUGAUCCAAGGAAAAGAAAUGAAGCAGGAAUGUUUAUACUUUGUUAGAUAAGUUUGUUUCUUUUUGUGCCAUAAAGAACUGAAGAGGAUCCACUGCUGUCUCGGGCGGGUUUAAAGCUCCUCGUCCAGCUGUGUGUCGUGUUUUAUCCUCUCAUCAGCUGUUCCUCUGAGCUGGAAGUGAACAUAUCCCCAAAGCUGCAGUGUCAAACAAUCUAAAGCAGGUGACCUCUGCGUUGGCGAAGGAAAGCUGCGACCCGGUGGACUCGAUCGAGGCUGAUUGUUGUUGUAGCGGCUGCAGUGCUUCAGGAGGGUGAAUGGGUUGUUUACAGCGUUUUUGUUUACCUCCAACUUUAUUUAAUCCUUGUUGUGAAAAGUCUACACGAGAGGAGUGAAGUAAAAACACUCCGGUGUCACUGAAACGAAAAAGUCAGGAAUGAAAUGAUACCAAUGAUCUUUAUAAAGGCCUUAAACCCGCAGUACAAAGUGGCUUUAUAGAGCAGUAGUUCUCAACCUCAGAUACCCCCUUAAUGAACCUAAUGCUACUUCUGGUCCGGUGCUGGUUCUGGUUCCGGUUGCUGGUUCUGGUCCGGUGCUUGGUUCUUUCAACGUGAACCCUUCUAAGAACUGAUUUUCCACAGACUAAAGAGCCCACCGUUAGACGUCAACGAUGCUACUUAAUUUAUCGUCAUUGUUUCCUCGAUUGUAACAUUGAUGUGAGAAAUGAGUUGCUCACUAACAGCUAAUAAAUGCACAGCUGGAACCGGUUCUGGCUCCGAACCAGCGGACCCAUGUUUGAUUAGACGUGGUCUCAGGGAACCCGUCUGAUCAGAUUGAGUUAAUCUACAGUACAGAGAGUUAUUAUGGGACAACAGUUGAAACUUAGAAACUUUUAGUCAGUGAAAUAGUUAAAUUAAAACCCCCGGUUGAGAACAACUCUUCUACAGUUUUGGCUCUUCAAUGUUUACCACAACUUUUUGCCAAGUGACAGCCAUGGAUGUAUUAACAGAGCUGGAUGCGGCGCCUCCACUCCGCCCUGCUGCCCCCCCCCCCCACC
RNA transcript from Morone saxatilis (striped sea-bass), 1635 nucleotides. It is a transcript of the gene named RAB24, member RAS oncogene family, with no coding region annotated. Lineage: Eukaryota; Metazoa; Chordata; Actinopteri; Moronidae. The record is from RefSeq and is a predicted model, not a curated record.